RNAcentral lists this ribosomal RNA (234 nucleotides) under uncultured bacterium. RNAcentral's name for it is "partial 16S ribosomal RNA". It matches the Rfam family "Bacterial small subunit ribosomal RNA", at positions 120 to 354 of the family's 1533-position model. The record is from RNAcentral.
AGCAAUCUGCCCAUGUCUGGGGGAUAACAGUUGGAAACGACUGAUAAUACCGCAUAAUAUGGUUUGAAGGCAUCUUCUUUCCAUCAAAGAUUUAUCGGAUAUGGAUGAGCUCGCGUCUGAUUAGCUUGUUGGUGAGGUAACGGCUCACCAAGGCGACGAUCAGUAGCCGACCUGAGAGGGUGAUCGGCCACAUUGGAACUGAGACACGGUCCAAACUCCUACGGAAGGCAGCAG